RNAcentral lists this ribosomal RNA (465 nucleotides) under uncultured Klebsiella sp. Its description in RNAcentral is "bacterial SSU rRNA". It matches the Rfam family "Bacterial small subunit ribosomal RNA", at positions 338 to 795 of the family's 1533-position model. Lineage: Bacteria; Pseudomonadati; Pseudomonadota; Gammaproteobacteria; Enterobacterales; Enterobacteriaceae. The record is from RNAcentral.
CCUACGGGGGGCUGCAGUGGGGAAUAUUGCACAAUGGACGCAAGCCUGAUGCAGCCAUGCCGCGUGUGUGAAGAAGGCCUUCGGGUUGUAAAGCACUUUCAGCGGGGAGGAAGGCGGUGAGGUUAAUAACCUCAUCGAUUGACGUUACCCGCAGAAGAAGCACCGGCUAACUCCGUGCCAGCAGCCGCGGUAAUACGGAGGGUGCAAGCGUUAAUCGGAAUUACUGGGCGUAAAGCGCACGCAGGCGGUCUGUCAAGUCGGAUGUGAAAUCCCCGGGCUCAACCUGGGAACUGCAUUCGAAACUGGCAGGCUAGAGUCUUGUAGAGGGGGGUAGAAUUCCAGGUGUAGCGGUGAAAUGCGUAGAGAUCUGGAGGAAUACCGGUGGCGAAGGCGGCCCCCUGGACAAAGACUGACGCUCAGGUGCGAAAGCGUGGGGAGCAAACAGGAUUAGAUACCCUAGUAGUC